This 588-nucleotide unclassified non-coding RNA is filed under the name Hevea brasiliensis (rubber tree). The record is from RNAcentral. Lineage: Eukaryota; Viridiplantae; Streptophyta; Magnoliopsida; Malpighiales; Euphorbiaceae.
CAAUUAUUGAAGAACUUGGAAGAGGAUCAAUUCCAAGAAGAUUUUCUUAUAGUGACCUUGUUGCAGCUACCAACAAUUUUUCAAAUGAGAGGAAGCUGGGAGAGGGAGGGUUUGGUGCUGUUUACAAGGGGUACCUUGCUUAUUUAGAUAUGGCAGUAGCUGUGAAGAAAAUUUCAAGGGGUUCAAAACAGGGGAAAAAGGAGUACAUAACCGAGGUAAGGGUCAUCAGCCGGUUGAGACAUAGAAAUCUGGUGCAACUUAUAGGUUGGUGCCAUGAAGGAGGUGAGUUCCUGCUUGUCUAUGAGUUUAUGCCAAAUGGUAGUCUUGAUUCUCACCUUUUUGGGAAGAAGGCUCCACUCAUUUGGGCUGUCAGAUACAGAAUAGCUCUUGGAUUGGCCUCUGCUCUGCUCUAUCUUCACGAAGAGUGGGAACAAUGCGUGGUGCACCGCGAUGUCAAAUCAAGCAAUAUAAUGCUAGACUCAAGUUUUAGUGUGAAGCUUGGGGAUUUUGGGUUAGCUCGACUCAUGGACCACGAGCUAGGUCCGCAAACAACAGGUUUGGCUGGAACUCUAGGCUACUUGGCUCCAG